UUUGGUUAAGUUAGAAAGGGCGCACGGUGGAUGCCUUGACACUAGGAGUCGAUGAAGGACGGGACUAACGCCGAUAUGCUUCGGGGAGCUGUAAGUAAGCUUUGAUCCGAAGAUUUCCGAAUGGGGAAACCCACCAUACGUAAUGGUAUGGUAUCCUUAUCUGAAUACAUAGGGUAAGGAAGACAGACCCAGGGAACUGAAACAUCUAAGUACCUGGAGGAAGAGAAAGCAAAUGCGAUUUCCUGAGUAGCGGCGAGCGAAACGGAACAUAGCCCAAACCAAGAGGCUUGCCUCUUGGGGUUGUAGGACAUUCUAUACGGAGUUACAAAGGAACGAGGUAGACGAAGCGACCUGGAAAGGUCCGUCGUAGAGGGUAACAACCCCGUAGUCGAAACUUCGUUCUCUCUUGAAUGUAUCCUGAGUACGGCGGAACACGUGAAAUUCCGUCGGAAUCUGGGAGGACCAUCUCCUAAGGCUAAAUACUCCCUAGUGAUCGAUAGUGAACCAGUACCGUGAGGGAAAGGUGAAAAGCACCCCGGAAGGGGAGUGAAAGAGAUCCUGAAACCGUGUGCCUACAAAUAGUCAGAGCCCGUUAACGGGUGAUGGCGUGCCUUUUGUAGAAUGAACCGGCGAGUUACGAUCCCGUGCGAGGUUAAGCUGAAGAGGCGGAGCCGCAGCGAAAGCGAGUCUGAAUAGGGCGUUUAGUACGUGGUCGUAGACCCGAAACCAGGUGAUCUACCCAUGUCCAGGGUGAAGUUCAGGUAACACUGAAUGGAGGCCCGAACCCACGCACGUUGAAAAGUGCGGGGAUGAGGUGUGGGUAGCGGAGAAAUUCCAAUCGAACCUGGAGAUAGCUGGUUCUCCCCGAAAUAGCUUUAGGGCUAGCCUUAAGUGUAAGAGUCUUGGAGGUAGAGCACUGAUUGGACUAGGGGUCCUCAUCGGAUUACCGAAUUCAGUCAAACUCCGAAUGCCAAUGACUUAUCCUUAGGAGUCAGACUGCGAGUGAUAAGAUCCGUAGUCAAAAGGGAAACAGCCCAGACCGCCAGCUAAGGUCCCAAAGUGUGUAUUAAGUGGAAAAGGAUGUGGAGUUGCUUAGACAACUAGGAUGUUGGCUUAGAAGCAGCCACCAUUUAAAGAGUGCGUAAUAGCUCACUAGUCGAGUGACUCUGCGCCGAAAAUGUACCGGGGCUAAAUACACCACCGAAGCUGCGGAUUGAUACCAAUGGUAUCAGUGGUAGGGGAGCGUUCUAAGGACAGUGAAGUCAGACCGGAAGGACUGGUGGAGUGCUUAGAAGUGAGAAUGCCGGUAUGAGUAGCGAAAGACGGGUGAGAAUCCCGUCCACCGAAUGCCUAAGGUUUCCUGAGGAAGGCUCGUCCGCUCAGGGUUAGUCAGGACCUAAGCCGAGGCCGACAGGCGUAGGCGAUGGACAACAGGUUGAUAUUCCUGUACCACCUCUUUAUCGUUUGAGCAAUGGAGGGACGCAGAAGGAUAGAAGAAGCGUGCGAUUGGUUGUGCACGUCCAAGCAGUUAGGCUGAUAAGUAGGCAAAUCCGCUUAUCGUGAAGGCUGAGCUGUGAUGGGGAAGCUCCUUAUGGAGCGAAGUCUUUGAUUCCCCGCUGCCAAGAAAAGCUUCUAGCGAGAUAAAAGGUGCCUGUACCGCAAACCGACACAGGUAGGCGAGGAGAGAAUCCUAAGGUGUGCGAGAGAACUCUGGUUAAGGAACUCGGCAAAAUGACCCCGUAACUUCGGGAGAAGGGGUGCUUUCUUAACGGAAAGCCGCAGUGAAUAGGCCCAAGCGACUGUUUAGCAAAAACACAGCUCUCUGCGAAGCCGUAAGGCGAAGUAUAGGGGGUGACACCUGCCCGGUGCUGGAAGGUUAAGGAGAGGGGUUAGCGUAAGCGAAGCUCUGAACUGAAGCCCCAGUAAACGGCGGCCGUAACUAUAACGGUCCUAAGGUAGCGAAAUUCCUUGUCGGGUAAGUUCCGACCCGCACGAAAGGUGUAACGAUUUGGGCACUGUCUCAACCAGAGACUCGGUGAAAUUAUAGUACCUGUGAAGAUGCAGGUUACCCGCGACAGGACGGAAAGACCCCGUGGAGCUUUACUGUAGCCUGAUAUUGAAUUUUGGUACAGUUUGUACAGGAUAGGCGGGAGCCUUUGAAACCGGAGCGCUAGCUUCGGUGGAGGCGCUGGUGGGAUACCGCCCUGACUGUAUUGAAAUUCUAACCUACGGGUCUUAUCGACCCGGGAGACAGUGUCAGGUGGGCAGUUUGACUGGGGCGGUCGCCUCCUAAAGUGUAACGGAGGCGCCCAAAGGUUCCCUCAGAAUGGUUGGAAAUCAUUCGUAGAGUGCAAAGGCAUAAGGGAGCUUGACUGCGAGACCUACAAGUCGAGCAGGGACGAAAGUCGGGCUUAGUGAUCCGGUGGUUCCGCAUGGAAGGGCCAUCGCUCAACGGAUAAAAGCUACCCCGGGGAUAACAGGCUUAUCUCCCCCAAGAGUCCACAUCGACGGGGAGGUUUGGCACCUCGAUGUCGGCUCAUCGCAUCCUGGGGCUGUAGUCGGUCCCAAGGGUUGGGCUGUUCGCCCAUUAAAGCGGUACGCGAGCUGGGUUCAGAACGUCGUGAGACAGUUCGGUCCCUAUCCGUCGUGGGCGUAGGAAAUUUGAGAGGAGCUGUCCUUAGUACGAGAGGACCGGGAUGGACGCACCGCUGGUGUACCAGUUGUUCUGCCAAGGGCAUAGCUGGGUAGCUAUGUGCGGAAGGGAUAAGUGCUGAAAGCAUCUAAGCAUGAAGCCCCCCUCAAGAUGAGAUUUCCCAUAGCGUAAGCUAGUAAGAUCCCUGAAAGAUGAUCAGGUUGAUAGGUUCGAGGUGGAAGCAUGGUGACAUGUGGAGCUGACGAAUACUAAUAGAUCGAGGACUUAACCAUAUAA
This 2929-nucleotide ribosomal RNA is filed under the name Bacillus thuringiensis. Its description in RNAcentral is "23S ribosomal RNA". It matches the Rfam family "Bacterial large subunit ribosomal RNA". Lineage: Bacteria; Bacillati; Bacillota; Bacilli; Caryophanales; Bacillaceae. The record is from RNAcentral.